UCUAGACUGUGAAUUCUUUGAAGGUAAGGGC
This 31-nucleotide non-coding RNA is filed under the name Homo sapiens (human). The record is from RNAcentral. Lineage: Eukaryota; Metazoa; Chordata; Mammalia; Primates; Hominidae.